CGGGUGAGUAAAGCAUCGGAACGUACCCUAGAGUGGGGGAUAACUAUCCGAAAGGAUAGCUAAUACCGCAUAUUCUAUGAGUAGGAAAGCGGGGGAUCUUCGGACCUCGCGCUCUAGGAGCGGCCGAUGUCAGAUUAGGUAGUUGGUGGGGUAAAGGCCUACCAAGCCGACGAUCUGUAGCGGGUCUGAGAGGAUGAUCCGCCACACUGGGACUGAGACACGGCCCAGACUCCCACGGGAGGCAGCAGUGGGGAAUUUUGGACAAUGGGGGCAACCCUGAUCCAGCCAUGCCGCGUGAGUGAAGAAGGCCUUCGGGUUGUAAAGCUCUUUCGGCCGGGAAGAAAUCGUGUGGGCUAAUACCCUGCAUGGAUGACGGUACCGGAAUAAGAAGCACCGGCUAACUACGUGCCAGCAGCCGCGGUAAUACGUAGGGUGCGAGCGUUAAUCGGAAUUACUGGGCGUAAAGCGUGCGCAGGCGGUUUUUUAAGACAGGCGUGAAAUCCCCGGGCUUAACCUGGGAACUGCGCUUGUGACUGGAAGGCUAGAGUACGGCAGAGGGGGGUGGAAUUCCACGUGUAGCAGUGAAAUGCGUAGAGAUGUGGAGGAACACCGAUGGCGAGGGCAGCCCCCUGGGCCGAUACUGACGCUCAUGCACGAAAGCGUGGGGAGCAAACAGGAUUAGAUACCCUGGUAGUCCACGCCCUAAACGAUGUCAACUAGUUGUUGGG
This 728-nucleotide ribosomal RNA is filed under the name uncultured bacterium. RNAcentral's name for it is "bacterial SSU rRNA". It matches the Rfam family "Bacterial small subunit ribosomal RNA", at positions 103 to 827 of the family's 1533-position model. The record is from RNAcentral.